UGGUGUUGUGUGUGUGUGUGAUCUUUUAAAACAAAAUAAAAAAAUAGAAGAGAACAAACCCAUCAGAAAGGUUUGUACCAACGUGAGAGAGAGAGAGAGAGAGAGAGAGAGAGAGAGAGAUCAGCCGUGAGGAGAGAAGAAGAAGGAAGAAAGGGAUUAAGGGUUUUGAAGCUUAAUUAGGUAACAAGCCGGUCAAAUAGGAGGUGCCGAAACCGUAAGUUUGGUGUAUAUCUCGGUCGAUGCAAAGGUAGCAGGUUGCGUAGAGUGGGUCCACUACCGGUCAUCGUGUUGAGAAGUGAUUGGGCUAGCAUUAGAUGAUGUGGAUGAACGAGUUGGUUGUAGGUAGUAAACUAAAAAGUUGAUUUAUGUAAGUUAUAAAUAAGUCGUUGGUGGAUGUAUUAAAGUGUAAAAUUUUUAAAGUAUUGUAAAACUAUAUUGUUGUUUAGUUGUGUGAGAUCGAUGUUGGUUGGUCGAUACGUCGACUCAUUUUUAUGUUAA
Long non-coding RNA from Rhododendron vialii, 498 nucleotides. RefSeq lists it as uncharacterized. The record is from RefSeq and is a predicted model, not a curated record. The transcript is spliced from 3 exons. Lineage: Eukaryota; Viridiplantae; Streptophyta; Magnoliopsida; Ericales; Ericaceae.